AACAAUGGGAAGUCUGUGCAAGAGCCCCAGAGUGGGACUUCCCCAGGAAGGAAAAGGGACUCAGGGAUCUUAUCUACCUUAUACUUGUUGCCUUGGAAACAACCCUGUGUCCUCCUCUUUGCUAAUAUCACCAGAACUUCAUUCGUUCUCUCCCACAUAGUGCUGGUAUACAUCUGGGGCCAAUGAAAUGUUAGAAAGUAAUGGUUCAUGUUGGGAAACCAAGGCUCAAACUUGAUCAACUUGGAAAAAAAAAAAAUUCUGCAGGAUGAUCUCUAAACAAUAAAGCCCCUC
This is a long non-coding RNA of Odocoileus virginianus texanus, 291 nucleotides long. RefSeq lists it as uncharacterized. NCBI's taxonomy places the organism in Eukaryota, Metazoa, Chordata, Mammalia, Artiodactyla, Cervidae. The record is from RefSeq and is a predicted model, not a curated record.